AAGGUUGGAAUUGCUUUUAUUGGGGGCGGAUGCCGCAAGGCCCCGCCCACGGUCAGGUUAGUGUUCUGCCCUUGCAGAGGCGCCAGCAGCCUGACACCUCCACCUGCCACCCGCCCAGGGUUAGUGGAACAUGCAAAGCUCGGAAGGUGGAGGCAGGGGCGGUCGCUGCUGAGGCCAGGGCUGGGUGGAACAGGACGGUCAGCACAGAGCCUGGCCGGCGUCCCUGGGCCCAAAGAGGGCUGGGGCUCCCUGGGAGAGAGACGGGCAGGCAGCACCCCAGGGUGGGGUCCACAAGCUGAAGGGGCCCCUGGACCCACCAGGGCAGGUCUGCAGCUCCCAGCCAUGCCAGCUGGAACGUACAUCUCCCCACCGGGUCUGGGUCCUCAGGGCCUGGGGUUAGAGGCCGACAAGGAAGGCACUUACUAGGGGAACAGAGGCUGGAGGCUGAUGCCGGAGGCCAGAGGUCUCAGGAGUGAGUGUGGGGGGUGAGCUGGAAAGCACAGAUCAGACAGCACUGUGGGGGCUGGGCCCGAGGGCCUCAUCUUCCCAUGGGGAAGGGGCUUCUCUGGGUAGACUGGGAGAGAGGCCGACUGGGGCUCCCCAUCCCCAGCAAGGCCUACCGUGCAGGCCAGUGCUAGAAACACCAGGGCAGAAACGCCAGCCCAGGGCUCCAGCCCUAAGAGGCUGAGGGCCCUCUACUGACGGGGCUGAGCCCAGCUGCCCUGUGCAGCUAGGACAGGCAGACGGGCAACCCUGGGGACAGGAGGGUGGGCUGGGGCCCAGCGUGGGACCCUCCAAGGCACCUGGCUGUGUGAGUGGCAGGUAGAGGGGAGUGGGGAGACCCGAGGGGGUGAGACGGCCAGCAGGGCUGGGCCAGCCCUGUCCCCCAAGAUACAGGCUGUCUGGACAGCAGAUAUAUAUUAAUAUAUUAGUCUGGUCUUUUUGGUUAAACUUUAGGCACCACUUGGGAGGAAGACACCUUUAAGCGUUGAAAACGACCCCAGUGCCUCGGUGGGAGCCGGGCUGGGCCGCAUGCAGAGCGGGGUGGGCGCAGGCAGGCUCAGGCCACGGCGGACUCAGGGCCCCCACGGAGGCCGAGGACCCUGAGGCGUAGCGGCGGCCGUAGCCCGAGGAGGAGUAGGAGGACGAAGAGAAGGUCAUGGAGAAGCCAGAGCCAGUGGCGUCAAAGCUGCCGCUGGCGGGAGCCGCCCGGGAGCCAGUGCGGGAGCCGUGCGGGAGCCGGCGGUGGAGCCGGAGCCGCUGACGCUGUAGGGGCUGUAGUAGCCCUUGCUGGACUGCGCGGCAGCCUCCAGCAGCCGCAGCCCUGUGCCCUCCUCCACCAUGCUGCGGUCCAGCGCGUCCUUGUAGGAGAUCUUGAGCUUGGUCUUAGGGCAGGUGAGGUACUUGGAGUAGGCGCCCACAUCACGCAGCUUCUGUGCAGUGCGGGCAUCCACCGUGCCACGCUGCAGGGCCUCAUCCAAGGGCACGCGGCCCGGCGUGUCGGGCUCAAUCAGGCCACCGGUCAGGUACUGCACCUCCAGGAAGCGCUGGCCGGCCUCGUAGUAGAGCCAGCCCUUCUUCAGGGCCUGGGCGGCCGACAUCUUGGUCUUGGUGCGUGGGUCCUCAAAGCCGCAGAAGGCCUUCUGGGCCAGAUUGAUGCGGUCCACCAUGAUCUUGUCCACCAGGCCCUUGUUGACAGCGUCGGUGACAGGGAAGCGCUCACCGGUGCUGGGGUCGAUGAUGCCCCCGGUGCAGGCCUGUGCCUCCAGCAGUCGCUGCCCUGUGAUGUUAUCCACCAGGUUGCGGUGCAUGGCCUCGGUGAUGGACACCUUCUCCAGCGUCUCCGUGUCCAGGAUGCCAGCCACGGGGCCCGUCUCCUCAGUGGGGUCUGACCAGGAGGCCAGCUGGGUCCUGGAGACGGCGGGGCUGAUGGGGUAGGAGGAGGAGGAUCCCACGGAGGAGGAACGGGACCGGAAGCCGCUGGCAUUGCCCGAGAGCAUGUCGGCGAACUCGGUGAUGGAGAGCGUGCCGGCGCGGUACUGGUCCAGUGCCGAGCGGUCGAUGAGGUUCUUGGCGAUGGCGUCGUCAAUGUCGUACUGGCGGCCGGAGCGGCGGUCGAUGAUCAUGGACUUAACUACGCCGUCCGAGGAGGAGAUGGUGAUCUCCUCCCACUCGCACUCCUGCUCGGACAGCUCCAGGUACGUCUGGUGGUCAAUGAGGCCCUUGCGGUAGGCCUCGUACACGGACAUCUCCUUGCCCGUCUCGGGGUCCACGAUGACCACUCGGCGCUUGCGCACGGAGGACUUGGAGGACGUCUUCCGCUCCCGCUUCUUCUCCUUCAGCGGCAGGAGGCACAGGCCCGUCUGGGGGUCGGUGAUACAACGCUCCAUCAGCUGCAGGUAGGUGAGGUUCUCCUCCGUGUUGGGGUCAAAGAAGCCCUUGGUGUCAUCCGAGGGGUCGGUCAGGAUCUCGUUCAUCUCCUCGUCGAAGAGGCCACGCUUGUAGGCCACCUCCACGGGCAGCCGGUGGCUCUCCUCGGGGUCGAUGAUGCCACCCGUGGCGAUCUGGGCCUCCAGCAGGCGGAUGCCGUGGUCCUUCAGGAUCAGGCCCUUCUUCAUGGCCUGGAAGAGGGAGAUGAGCUUCCCAGAGUAAGGGUCCUUGUACCCGGUGACGGCUCGCUCGGCCGACAGCAGCUUGUCCUUGAACUCGGGGCCCACGAUGCCCAUACGCACAGCCUCCUCCACCGUCAGCUUCAGUCCCUUGAUGGGGUCGAUGACGUACCCGGUGGCCGCCUGUGCCUCUAGAAGCUCAAAGGCCGUGCCGGGGCGGAUGAUGCCCUUCUUCAUGGCCUGGUACACCGAGAGCCGUUCCUUGGUGGCGUCCACGAAGACGCCGGCGAUGCAGCUGGUGCCUUCCAGGAACUUCUGUAAGUUCUUGGUGACCUCCUCGAUGGAGGUCAGGCCCUCCCGCAGCUGCAGCGCCGUGGCCUCGUCCAUGACCUGCGAGCGCACCAGCUCCUCCACGGUGAUCUGCUUCCGCAGGCCACGGAAGGUCAGCUUGCGAGCGUCCGACAGCGGCAGGAGCAGCUGGCCGGUGCCAUCGUCACGGCGACACCGUCUGAGCAGCUGUGUGUAGCUGAGGCGCUCGUCGGUGGACGGGUCCACGUAGCUGCGCACCUCGCUGGGCUCGGAGAGCUGGUCGUGCGUGUCCUUGUUGAGGUAGCCGCGCUGGUAAGCCACCUCCAGUGGAAGGUGGAAGCCCAGGCGGGGGUCCACGAUGCCGCCGGUGGCCAGCUGGGCAUCCAGCAGCCGCAGGGCCUCCUCAGUAGGGAUCAGCUCCUUCUUCAUGGCCUGGAAGAGCGAGAUGGUCUGCUCAGUGUAGGGGUCGCGGUAGCCGGUGACCGCCCGCUCAGCCGAGAGCAGGCGGUCGUGCAGCUCGGGCCCCACCAGGCCCUUCCGCACAGCCUCAUCCACAGUCAGCCGCUGCCCCUUCACUGGAUCCAGCAGGAAGCCCGUGGCUGCCUGUGCCUCCAGCAGCAGGCGGGCCACCUCGGCACUCAGCAGCCCUUUCUUGAGGGCCUGGUAGAUGCUCAGUGUCUGCCUGGAGCCGGGCAAGUAGACGCCGGCCACGCAGCCCGUGCCAUAGAGGUAGCGCCAGGCGGACUCCGCCUCGAGGGCCUCACGGAGGCUCCUGGUGCCCUCCCGGAGCAGGUUGUAGGUCUCGAGGGAGAUGAUCCGAGCCUCGUAGAGGUCCUCAGCUGUGAGGCGGCGGCGCACAUAGUCGUAGGAGGCCAGACCCUGCUGGCGGAUGAUCUCCGUCUUCUCAAUGAUCUCAAUGAUGAUGAUGAUCAUGCGUUCCUUGGUCACCCGGCCGGCCUGAAAGUCAGCCAUCAGCUGGGCCCGCUGCUCCUCGGGGAUCAGGUCCGACUGCAUCACCUCCCACAGGGACAUGGUGGAGCCGCCGUGGCUGCCGCCGCCAGGAAUGUCAAUCUGCGUCUCUUCAAAUGCCCUUCGUGUCUCCUCCUCAGUGUACACCUGUGUGGUCUCCACCACCUCAGCCUUCUCCGCCCCUUUCAAUGGCAGGAGGCGCAGGCCCGUCUCAGGGUCCUCCACGCAGCGCUCCAGCAGCUGCCUAUAUGUGAGGUUCUCGUGCGUGUUGGGGUCAAAGAAGCCCUUGGUGUCGUCACUGGGGUCCGCCAAGACGCGGUUCAUCUCCUCGUUGAAGUAGCCACGCUGGUAGGCCACGUCCACGGGCACGCGGUGGCUGUGCACGGGGUCGAUGAUGCCACCCGUGGCGAUCUGGGCCUCCAGCAGGCGGAUGCCAUGCUGCCGGAGGACCAGGCCCUUCUGCAUGGCCUGGAAGAGGGAGAUGGUACUGCCUGAGUAGGGGUCUCUGUAGCCGGUGACAGCCUUCUCGGCUGACAGCAGCUGCUCAUGAAGCUCGGGGCCCACCACGCCUGCCUUCACGGCCUCGUGGACAUACAGGCGCUGGUUCCGCACGGGGUCCACCAGGAAGCCAGUGGCCGCCUGCGCCUCCAGCAGGAGCGCAGCGGUGCUGGGUCUCAGCAGGCCCCGGCGCAUGGCCUCGUAGAUGGACACCUUCUCCUUGGUGUCCUCCAGGUAGAUGCCAGCGAGGCAGCCACUGCCCUGCAGCAGCGUCCGCACGGAGUCCAGCUCCGAAAGGUCCUUGACCGUCGUCUUGCCGUCCUUGAGCUGCUCAAACUGGGCUCUGCUGAGGACCCUGGAAGCCAGGAGCUCGCUGGCUGGCACAGGGGCACGGAGGCCGCUGAAGGACAGCCUCUCCUGCCGCAGGGUCUCCACCUCCUCCACGAUGGUGAUGAGGAUCUUGAUGACCUUCUCCACGGUGACCUUGCCGGUGCGGAAUUGACGCAGCAGCUCCUGCCGCUGCUCUGCGGUGAAGUACUCAGAGCUGAUGAGCUCCCACACUGUCACCGUCCUGCCCUUGAAGCCGCCCACGGGGACGUCAACCGGGGUCUUCUCGAAGGUCUCACGGGCCUGCAGCUCUGAGUAGAGCUCCUCCUGCCGGGCCCGAGCAGCCUUCUCUGAGAGCGGCAGCAGGCUCAGCCCAGUCAGCUGGUCGGGCCGGCACCGCUGCUGGAGCUCGCUGUAGGUGACCGGCUCCCCUGUGCUGGGGUCACAGUAGGCCUUGGCGUCAGCCCUUGGUGCUGACAGGGCCCUGCUGGUCUCCUCGUCCAGGAAGCCUCGGGCGCAGGCAACAUCCAGGGGCACGCGGUGGCUCUUGCUGGGGUCCACGACACCGCCCGUGGACAACUGGGCGUCCAACAGGCGCAGGCCCUGCUCCCGGGGAAUGAGGCCCUUCUUCAGGGCCUGGAACAGCGAGACACUCUGCCCCGUGUAGGGGUCCCUGUAUCCCGUCACAGCCUUCUCGGCUGACAGCAGCUUCUCAUGAAACUCGGGGCCCACCAGGCCGGCGCGCACUGCCUCGUCCACGGUCAGCCGGGCGCUGGUGGAGGGGUCGAUGAUGUGCCCGGUGCCAGCCUGGGCUUCCAACAGGGCCACAGCCACGUCGGACGGCAGCAGGUCUUUCUUCAGGGCGUCGUAGACGCUCAGCUUCUGCCCUGCCUCCUCCAGCCACACGCCUGCGAUGACGUUGGCACCCCGGAGGGCCCGCCGCACAGCGUCCACCUCGGCCACCUCUCGCACAGAGCGCUCACCUUGUUGCAGCUGGUGGUAGAGCUCGCGGUCGAUGACCCUGCUCUCCAGCAGCUCAGCGGCUGGCACCAGGCUGCGCAGGCCCUCGAAGCAGAGCUGGCCCUUCUGCUCCUGCUCCUCCACCACCGUGAUGAUGAUCUUGAUGAUCUUCUCCACCGUGAUCCGGCCCGUGCGGAACUGCCGCAGCAGGUCCCGCCGCUGCUCCGCUGUGAAGUAUUCCGAGUUGAUGAUUUCCCAGAUGGUCACCGUCUUGCCCUGGAACUUGCCGAACGGCGCGGACACAGUGGCCUUCUCAAAGACGUCCCGGGCCUCGGAGUCGGUGUAGACCAGCUCCCUGCCCUUGGCCGCCUUAUCCGUGAGCGGCAGAAGGCGCAGGCCCGUCUCGGGGUCCUCCACGCAGCGCUCCAGCAGCUGCAGGUAGGUGAGGUUCUCGUGCGUGUUGGGGUCGAAGAAGCCCUUGGUGUCGUCGCUGGGGUCCGCCAGGACGCGGUUCAUCUCCUCGUCGAAGUAGCCGCGCCGGUAGGCCACGUCCACGGGCACGCGGUGGCUGUGCACGGGGUCGAUGACGCCGCCCGUGGCGAUCUGGGCCUCCAGCAGGCGGAUGCCGUGCUCCCGGACGAUGAGGCCCUUCUGCAUGGCUUGGAAGAGGGAGAUCUGCUGCCCGGUGUAGGGGUCCUUGUAGCCAGUGACGGCGCGCUCGGCCGACAGCAGCUUGUGGUGCAGCUCAGGGCCCACCACGCCCUCCUUCACAGCCUCAUUGACAGUCAGCCGUCGGUUCCGCACCGGG
This 6480-nucleotide long non-coding RNA is filed under the name Macaca fascicularis (crab-eating macaque). RNAcentral describes it as "lncRNA (ENSMFAG00000049049.1)". The record is from RNAcentral. Lineage: Eukaryota; Metazoa; Chordata; Mammalia; Primates; Cercopithecidae.